AGUGAACGCUGGCGGUAGGCCUAACACAUGCAAGUCGAACGGCAGCACAGUAAGAGCUUGCCCUUACGGGUGGCGAGUGGCGGACGGGUGAGGAAUACAUCGGAAUCUACUUUUUCGUGGGGGAUAACGUAGGGAAACUUACGCUAAUACCGCAUACGACCUACGGGUGAAAUCAGGGGAUCUUCGGACCUUGCGCGAUUGAAUGAGCCGAUGUCGGAUUAGCUAGUUGGCGGGGUAAAGGCCCACCAAGGCGACGAUCCGUAGCUGGUCUGAGAGGAUGAUCAGCCACACUGGAACUGAGACACGGUCCAGACUCCUACGGGAGGCAGCAGUGGGGAAUAUUGGACAAUGGGCGAAAGCCUGAUCCAGCCAUACCGCGUGGGUGAAGAAGGCCUUCGGGUUGUAAAGCCCUUUUGUUGGGAAAGAAAAGCAGCAGGUUAAUACCCCGCUGUUCUGACGGUACCCAAAGAAUAAGCACCGGCUAACUUCGUG
This 492-nucleotide ribosomal RNA is filed under the name uncultured bacterium. Its description in RNAcentral is "partial 16S ribosomal RNA". It matches the Rfam family "Bacterial small subunit ribosomal RNA", at positions 29 to 507 of the family's 1533-position model. The record is from RNAcentral.